This 271-nucleotide ribosomal RNA is filed under the name uncultured bacterium. RNAcentral describes it as "partial 16S ribosomal RNA". It matches the Rfam family "Bacterial small subunit ribosomal RNA", at positions 29 to 326 of the family's 1533-position model. The record is from RNAcentral.
AACGAACGCUGGCGGCAUGCCUAACACAUGCAAGUCGAACGCGUGUAGCAAUACACGAGUGGCGGACGGGUGAGUAACGCGUGGGAACCUGCCCAAUGGAAGGGAAUAACUGCGGGAAACUGCAGCUAAUACCCUAUGCUCCCUACGGGGAAGAUUAUCGCCAUUGGAGGGGCCCGGCGUCGGAUUAGCUAGUUGGCGGGGUAACGGGCCCACCAAGGCUACGAUCCGUAGCUGGUCUGAGAGGAUGAUCAGCCACACUGGGACUGAGAUA